Podarcis lilfordi (Lilford's wall lizard) is the source of this 72-nucleotide non-coding RNA. NCBI's taxonomy places the organism in Eukaryota, Metazoa, Chordata, Lepidosauria, Squamata, Lacertidae. The record is from the annotation of a GenBank genome assembly.
AGGGGUAUAGCUCAGUAGUAGAGCAUUUGCCUUUCUUACCAAAGGUGCUAGGUUCAAUCUCUGGCAUCUCCA